Molecule: transfer RNA, 86 nt
Filed under: Puniceicoccales bacterium
Lineage: Bacteria; Pseudomonadati; Verrucomicrobiota; Opitutia; Puniceicoccales
Description: tRNA-Leu
Rfam family: tRNA
About the family: Transfer RNA (tRNA) molecules are approximately 80 nucleotides in length. Their secondary structure includes four short double-helical elements and three loops (D, anti-codon, and T loops).
Source: RNAcentral
GCCCAGGUGGCGGAAUGGUAGACGCUGAGGACUUAAAAUCCUUUGUCUGAAAAGACGUGCGGGUUCGAGUCCCGCCCUGGGCACCA